UCCGUAGGCGGGCAAUUAAGUCAGAGGUGAAAUCCUGCAGCUCAACUGUAGAAUUGCCUUUGAUACUGGUUAUCUUGAGUCAUUAUGAAGUGGUUAGAAUGUGUAGUGUAGCGGUGAAAUGCAUAGAUAUUACACAGAAUACCGAUUGCGAAGGCAGAUCACUAAUAAUGUACUGACACUGAGGGACGAAAGCGUGGGGAGCGAACAGGAUUAGAUACCCUGGUAGUCC
This 229-nucleotide ribosomal RNA is filed under the name uncultured bacterium. RNAcentral's name for it is "partial 16S ribosomal RNA". It matches the Rfam family "Bacterial small subunit ribosomal RNA", at positions 568 to 796 of the family's 1533-position model. The record is from RNAcentral.